GAUGAAGAACGCAGCGAAAUGCGAUACGUAAUGUGAAUUGCAGAAUUCAGUGAAUCAUCGAGUCUUUGAACGCACAUUGCGCCCCCUGGUAUUCCGGGGGGCAUGCCUGUCCGAGCGUCAUUGCUGCCCUCAAGCACGGCUUGUGUGUUGGGCCUCCGUCCUCCUCCCGGGGGACGGGCCCGAAAGGCAGCGGCGGCACCGCGUCCGGUCCUCGAGCGUAUGGGGCUUCGUCACCCGCUCUUGUAGGCCCGGCCGGCGCUUGCCGACACAUCAAUCUUUUUUCCAGGUUGACCUCGGUUCAGGUAGGGAUACCCGCUGAACUUAAGCAUAUCAAUAAGCGGAGGA
RNAcentral lists this unclassified non-coding RNA (345 nucleotides) under soil metagenome. RNAcentral describes it as "partial contains 5.8S ribosomal RNA, internal transcribed spacer 2, and large subunit ribosomal RNA". The stretch from base 1 to 120 matches the Rfam family "5.8S ribosomal RNA", at positions 35 to 154 of the family's 154-position model. The record is from RNAcentral.